Long non-coding RNA from Cyanistes caeruleus (blue tit), 1615 nucleotides. RefSeq lists it as uncharacterized. Lineage: Eukaryota; Metazoa; Chordata; Aves; Passeriformes; Paridae. The record is from RefSeq and is a predicted model, not a curated record.
AGCCCUUUUGCCUCUCACUCCCAGCCCAAGCUGCAACAUAAUAAGGUUAUUUUCUCCUGCUGGCUGCAAAGGAAGAAAGCAAUUGAAAGGUGUCAUACCUAUGCUGAAAAACUCCUGAAGGGCUGAUGUAUUAUGGGAUAGGAGGCAAAAGGGCUCCUGAUGUACCUGAAGGCACAUCUUUAUCUAUAGAUUGAGCCUGGAAACAUCAUGGUUUGUCUUUAACAGGAAGUUAAUUUUGGCUGAUUUCCAGUAAAAGUUCUCAAGUGCAGCAGAUGAAUGUCUGAUUCUCUGCCACCUUGCACUAUGGGUAGUCACUAAAUUUUUCAGAAAACAACCCUUUGGUCUACCAAAUCUGACCUUGCAAGUCACCUUUGUGGCAGAAUUUUUGUCUGGAGUAUGGGCACCACCUUGUUUUUCAUUCUGCAAGGCAGUGGAGGUUCAGACCACAGGACAGUUAUUUGCUGCUCUGUCCUCUGCAUGGCAUGUAUUUAUAUUUCUCAUCUUUUUCCUCUAAGCUGGGUAAAAAGUUUUUCAAUUCUAUAGGAAGUUCUAUUCAACUAUCUGGUUGAAUAAUUCUGCUUUAAGGGGUACAAGUUAUAGUCUGCCAUGCUAUCUUCAGGGAUACAAGCUUUUGAGGGACAGGCAGUAAUAAAUACUGUCCUUAAAAGCUAGAAGCUUCUGAGUGUUGGCUUAGAGGUAUCAUCACAUCCUGGUGGCUGAUGAUCCUGUCUUGAGUGAUUAGCCCACUGUGGCUGGUUGGACACAGGCUAUUUAUUUUAUUGUAUAGCUGUUCAAUAUAGGAUGUAGUGGAGGCCUGAAUUUCCAUGGAAUGGAUGCACUUUUAACCCCUCAGCUGACUCAGAAUGAGGUAAAUCUGUGGGUGGAACAGGGGUGUCUGUGAGAACAACACCAGGACUGGAGAGGCUUUUGUGCUCUGUGCCCUCAGACAGGGUAGCUCCAGCAUGGGGGAAGCUGCUCUCCUGGGCUCACAAUUCCCUUCCUAUACACGACUCAGCUCAUCGCCAAGAAGUUUUAUCGGAGCCAAUGUUUUAUACAAAAGAACUUUCUUGAGGAGCCUUGCAGAGAGGUGGAGCUAAUGUGCUGGGAUUCCUUGAGAAAGAGAAGGAAACUGCUCUGGGAAGUACUGCCUGCCUCGGGGGAGAGAUGUUGAGGUUUGGAGAGGAAUGGCACAGAGCCUUCGAUUCACUGGAUGCCUGAACCAGGAUGCAUUGAAGACAAUGGAGCCAUGUAAAAUGAUGGCAAAUUGUGACCUCAGCAGGUUUUUAAAUUGUUCCAAAGGUGGAAAACUGAAUGAAGCUACCUUCUACUUACCACUGACAGACAGAGCUCAGGAUCCUAAGGGAUGUAGAAACUGCCUCAGUUCCUCUGCUCUCCUCUGGUGGCCUGAGCCAGCAAGAGCCAAGCGUGGUUUGGCUUGGUUUGGUCUGAGAUGGAAAGAAGACUCAUGCAGGAGAAUAUCUCUGGUCCUCUCCUGGAUCCCAGCAACCUUCUUUCUGUUGGAGAGAGAAAGAAAUUCCUGCUGUGUUGUUGAACAAACAAUAAGCUGCUGUGUGGUCAUGCUGGGCUAAACCCUGAAAUAAAGCUACAAAAAGUG